RNAcentral lists this ribosomal RNA (808 nucleotides) under uncultured Planctomycetota bacterium. RNAcentral's name for it is "bacterial SSU rRNA". It matches the Rfam family "Bacterial small subunit ribosomal RNA", at positions 46 to 832 of the family's 1533-position model. The record is from RNAcentral. Lineage: Bacteria; Pseudomonadati; Planctomycetota.
GGAUUAGGCAUGCAAGUCGCACGAGAAAGGCUUCUUCGGAAGCCGAGUAAAGUGGCGAACGGGUGAGUAAUGCAUAGACAACUUGCCCUUGAGAUGGGGACAACGCCUCGAAAGGGGUGCUAAUACCCAAUGCCGCCUUGGGCCUGCGGGUCCAGGGUGAAAGGAGGCCUCUGACUCAAGCUUCCGCUCAAGGAGAGGUUUAUGUCCUAUUAGCUAGUUGGCGGGGUAACGGCCCACCAAGGCUGCGAUGGGUAGCCGACCUGAGAGGGUGACCGGCCACAUUGGGACUGAGACACUGCCCAGACUCCUACGGGAGGCUGCAGUCGAGAAUCUUCCGCAAUGCGCGCAAGCGUGACGGAGCGACGCCGCGUGGGUGAUGAAGGCCUUCGGGUUGUAAAACCCUGUCAGCUACUACGAAACACGGGCGAUGAACAAUCGUCCCGUCUGACUUAAGUAGCAGAGGAAGCACCGGCUAACUACGUGCCAGCAGCCGCGGUAAUACGUAGGGUGCAAACGUUGUUCGGAAUCACUGGGCAUAAAGGGCGCGUAGGCGGUCUGAUAAGUCAGGUGUGAAAUCCCUCGGCCUAACCGAGGAACUGCAUUUGAUACUGUCGGGCUAGAGUACAGGAGGGGAGAGUGGAAUUCCUGGUGGAGCGGUGAAAUGCGUAGAUAUCAGGAGGAACGCCGGCGGCGAAAGCGACUCUCUGGCCUGUUACUGACGCUGAGGCGCGAAAGCUAGGGGAGCAAACGGGAUUAGAUACCCCGGUAGUCCUAGCCCUAAACGAUGGGCACUAAGUAGAGGGGUUUU